Molecule: ribosomal RNA, 497 nt
Filed under: uncultured bacterium
Lineage: Bacteria
Description: partial 16S ribosomal RNA
Rfam family: Bacterial small subunit ribosomal RNA
Source: RNAcentral
GACGAACGCUGGCGGCGUGCCUAAUACAUGCAAGUCGAACGCUGAAGCUUGGUACUUGCACCGAGCGGAUGAGUUGCGAACGGGUGAGUAACGCGUAGGUAACCUGCCUGGUAGCGGGGGAUAACUAUUGGAAACGAUAGCUAAUACCGCAUAAGAGUAGAUGUUGCAUGACAUUUGCUUAAAAGGUGCAAUUGCAUCACUACCAGAUGGACCUGCGUUGUAUUAGCUAGUUGGUGAGGUAACGGCUCACCAAGGCAACGAUACAUAGCCGACCUGCGAGGGUGAUCGGCCACACUGGGACUGAGACACGGCCCAGACUCCUACGGGAGGCAGCAGUAGGGAAUCUUCGGCAAUGGACGGAAGUCUGACCGAGCAACGCCGCGUGAGGGAAGAAGGUUUUCGGAUCGGAAAGCUCUGUUGUAAGAGAAGAACGAGUGUGAGAGUGGAAAGUUCACACUGUGACGGUAUCUGACCAGAAAGGGACGGCUAACUACGUG